This 492-nucleotide ribosomal RNA is filed under the name uncultured bacterium. RNAcentral's name for it is "partial 16S ribosomal RNA". It matches the Rfam family "Bacterial small subunit ribosomal RNA", at positions 29 to 507 of the family's 1533-position model. The record is from RNAcentral.
AGUGAACGCUGGUGGUAGGCCUAACACAUGCAAGUCGAACGGCAGCACAGUAAGAGCUUGCUCUUACGGGUGGCGAGUGGCGGACGGGCGAGGAAUACAUCGGAAUCUACUUUUUCGUGGGGGAUAACGUAGGGAAACUUACGCUAAUACCGCAUACGACCUACGGGUGAAAGCAGGGGAUCUUCGGACCUUGCGCGAUUGAAUGAGCCGAUGUCGGAUUAGCUAGUUGGCGGGGUAAAGGCCCACCAAGGCGACGAUCCGUAGCUGGUCUGAGAGGAUGAUCAGCCACACUGGAACUGAGACACGGUCCAGACUCCUACGGGAGGCAGCAGUGGGGAAUAUUGGACAAUGGGCGCAAGCCUGAUCCAGCCAUACCGCGUGGGUGAAGAAGGCCUUCGGGUUGUAAAGCCCUUUUGUUGGGAAAGAAAAGCAGCAGGUUAAUACCCCGCUGUUCUGACGGUACCCAAAGAAUAAGCACCGGCUAACUUCGUG